This 403-nucleotide ribosomal RNA is filed under the name bacterium. Its description in RNAcentral is "partial 16S ribosomal RNA". It matches the Rfam family "Bacterial small subunit ribosomal RNA", at positions 355 to 776 of the family's 1533-position model. The record is from RNAcentral.
UGGGGAAUAUUGCACAAUGGGGGAAACCCUGAUGCAGCGACGCCGCGUGAACGAAGAAGGUAUUCGUAUCGUAAAGUUCUGUCCUAUGGGAAGAUAAUGACAGUACCAUAGAAGAAAGCUCCGGCUAAAUACGUGCCAGCAGCCGCGGUAAUACGUAUGGAGCGAGCGUUGUCCGGAAUUAUUGGGCGUAAAGGGUACGCUGGCGGUUUAAUAAGUCGAAUGUUAAAGAUCGGGGCUCAACCCCGCAAAGCAUUGGAAACUGAUAAACUUGAGUAGUGGAGAGGAAAGUGGAAUUCCUAGUGUAGUGGUGAAAUACGUAGAUAUUAGGAGGAAUACCAGUAGCGAAGGCGACUUUCUGGACACAAACUGACGCUGAGGUACGAAAGCGUGGGGAGCAAACAGG